Molecule: ribosomal RNA, 253 nt
Filed under: uncultured bacterium
Lineage: Bacteria
Description: partial 16S ribosomal RNA
Rfam family: Bacterial small subunit ribosomal RNA
Source: RNAcentral
UACAGAGGGUGCUAGCGUUAAUCGGAAUUAUUGGGCGUAAAGCGCGUGUAGGCGGUCUUGCAAGUCGGGUGUGAAAUCCCUUGGCUCAACUGAGGAAGUGCGCCCGAAACUGCAGGACUUGAGUACCGGAGAGGAUGGCGGAAUUCCCCAAGUAGAGGUGAAAUUCGUAGAUAUGGGGAGGAACACCGGUGGCGAAGGCGGCCAUCUGGACGGAUACUGACGCUGAGACGCGAAAGCAUGGGGAGCAAACAGG